CAAAACUGCAGGAGGUUGAGAUACAAAGACACUUGGAACUAAUCAACAAACCCGCUGUUAAAUCUAUCAAGAGUCCAGAUGGAGAUAUAAUAGAUUGUGUUCAUAUCACCAAUCAACCCGCUUUCGACCAUCCUUUAUUAAAGAACCACACUAUUCAGUUGAGACCAAGUUUUCUCCAAGAAGAUCCUUCAUCAAAAACCGAUGGCAUAGCUCAAGUAUGGCAUAGGAACGGAGAAUGCCCAGAGAACACCAUUCCGAUAA
Tarenaya hassleriana is the source of this 261-nucleotide long non-coding RNA. RefSeq lists it as uncharacterized. The record is from RefSeq and is a predicted model, not a curated record. NCBI's taxonomy places the organism in Eukaryota, Viridiplantae, Streptophyta, Magnoliopsida, Brassicales, Cleomaceae. The transcript is spliced from 3 exons.